Molecule: ribosomal RNA, 428 nt
Filed under: uncultured bacterium
Lineage: Bacteria
Description: bacterial SSU rRNA
Rfam family: Bacterial small subunit ribosomal RNA
Source: RNAcentral
UCGAGAAUCAUUCACAAUGGGCGAAAGCCUGAUGGUGUGACGCCGCGUGGAGGAUGAAGGUCUUCGGAUUGUAAACUCCUGUCAAGUGGGAGUAAAGCUGCGCGUUAACUGCGUCGCAGUCUGAGAGUACCACUAGAGGAAGAGACGGCUAACUCUGUGCCAGCAGCCGCGGUAAUACAGAGGUCUCAAGCGUUGUUCGGAAUCACUGGGCGUAAAGGGUGCGUAGGCUGCGGUGCAAGUCAGAUGUGAAAUCCCGGGGCUCAACCUCGGAAUUGCAUCCGAUACUGCAUCGCUUGAGGACUGGAGAGGAGUCUGGAAUUCAUGGUGGAGCAGUGAAAUGCGUAGAUAUCAUGAGGAACACUAGUGGCGUAGGCGAGACUCUGGACAGUUCCUGACGCUGAGGCACGAAGGCCAGGGGAGCAAACGGG